CACCAGGUUGAUUCUGCCUGACGUAGAUGCUCGUCUCGGAGAUUAAGCCAUGCAUGCCCGUGAACAAUAGGGAACGGCGAACGGCUCAGUAAUACUGCGACGAUCUGCUCCUGGCGGAAGAUAACCACGGGAAACUGUGGCUAAGAGCUGGGAUUGAGACGCAGCCCUAGCUAGUUGGUAGUGUAAGGGACUACCAAGGCGACGACGGGUGACGGGAGAUGGGGGUCUUAUUCCGGAGAGGGAGCCUGAGAGAUGGCUCCCACGUCCAAGGACGGCAGCAGGCGCGGAAAUUGCCCACUCUUUGGUGAGGAGGCAGUUACGAGACGUGUGUGAAAGGGCGUACUGCAAAGGCGUGCGCGAAGGCGAUUGGAGGGCAAGUUCGGUGCCAGCAGCCGCGG
RNAcentral lists this ribosomal RNA (398 nucleotides) under uncultured Microsporidia. RNAcentral's name for it is "SSU rRNA". It matches the Rfam family "Microsporidia small subunit ribosomal RNA", at positions 1 to 405 of the family's 1311-position model. Lineage: Eukaryota; Fungi; Microsporidia. The record is from RNAcentral.